Molecule: ribosomal RNA, 252 nt
Filed under: uncultured bacterium
Lineage: Bacteria
Description: partial 16S ribosomal RNA
Rfam family: Bacterial small subunit ribosomal RNA
Source: RNAcentral
ACGGAGGAUCCAAGCGUUAUCCGGAAUCAUUGGGUUUAAAGGGUCCGUAGGCGGUCAGAUAAGUCAGUGGUGAAAGCCCAUCGCUCAACGGUGGAACGGCCAUUGAUACUGUCUGACUUGAAUUAUUAGGAAGUAACUAGAAUAUGUAGUGUAGCGGUGAAAUGCUUAGAGAUUACAUGGAAUACCAAUUGCGAAGGCAGGUUACUACUAAUAUAUUGACGCUGAUGGACGAAAGCGUGGGUAGCGAACAGG